This 503-nucleotide ribosomal RNA is filed under the name uncultured Bordetella sp. Its description in RNAcentral is "bacterial SSU rRNA". It matches the Rfam family "Bacterial small subunit ribosomal RNA", at positions 9 to 507 of the family's 1533-position model. Lineage: Bacteria; Pseudomonadati; Pseudomonadota; Betaproteobacteria; Burkholderiales; Alcaligenaceae. The record is from RNAcentral.
GAGUUUGAUCCUGGCUCAGAUUGAACGCUAGCGGGAUGCUUUACACAUGCAAGUCGAACGGCAGCGCGGACUUCGGUCUGGCGGCGAGUGGCGAACGGGUGAGUAAUGUAUCGGAACGUGCCUAGUAGCGGGGGAUAACUACGCGAAAGCGUAGCUAAUACCGCAUACGCCCUUUUGGGGAAAGCGGGGGACCUUCGGGCCUCGCACUAUUAGAGCGGCCGAUAUCGGAUUAGCUAGUUGGUGGGGUAAAGGCUCACCAAGGCGACGAUCCGUAGCUGGUUUGAGAGGACGACCAGCCACACUGGGACUGAGACACGGCCCAGACUCCUACGGGAGGCAGCAGUGGGGAAUUUUGGACAAUGGGGGCAACCCUGAUCCAGCCAUCCCGCGUGUGCGAUGAAGGCCUUCGGGUUGUAAAGCACUUUUGGCAGGAAAGAAACGGCCUUGGAUAAUACCUGAGGCAACUGACGGUACCUGCAGAAUAAGCACCGGCUAACUACGUG